Molecule: transfer RNA, 78 nt
Filed under: Bradyrhizobium sp. BR13661
Lineage: Bacteria; Pseudomonadati; Pseudomonadota; Alphaproteobacteria; Hyphomicrobiales; Nitrobacteraceae
Description: tRNA-Asn
Rfam family: tRNA
About the family: Transfer RNA (tRNA) molecules are approximately 80 nucleotides in length.
Source: RNAcentral
UUCCGGAAGGCGAGCAAGGUGCACGCGGGCGUCUGUUAAACGCAGUUCAGGCAGGUUCGAUUCCUGCUCCGGGAGCCA